Molecule: ribosomal RNA, 108 nt
Filed under: Microtus ochrogaster (prairie vole)
Lineage: Eukaryota; Metazoa; Chordata; Mammalia; Rodentia; Cricetidae
Source: RNAcentral
GUCUGUGGCCAUGCACCCUGAACUGACCCAAUCUUAGCUAUCUCAGAAGCUAAGCAGGGUCAGGCCUGGUCAGUACUCAGAAGGGAGGAGCAGAGGUUGCCCAUGAUC